CAGCAGCCACGGUAACACGGAGGAUCCAAGCGUUAUCCGGAAUCAUUGGGUUUAAAGGGUCCGUAGGCGGUCUUGUAAGUCAGUGGUGAAAGCCCAUCGCUCAACGGUGGAACGGCCAUUGAUACUGCAGGACUUGAAUUAUUGGGAAGUAACUAGAAUAUGUAGUGUAGCGGUGAAAUGCUUAGAGAUUACAUGGAAUACCAAUUGCGAAGGCAGGUUACUACCAAUUGAUUGACGCUGAUGGACGAAAGCGUGGGUAGCGAACAGGAUUAGAUACCCGGGUAGUCCCUGUCUCUUAUAA
Molecule: ribosomal RNA, 301 nt
Filed under: uncultured bacterium
Lineage: Bacteria
Description: partial 16S ribosomal RNA
Rfam family: Bacterial small subunit ribosomal RNA
Source: RNAcentral